This 492-nucleotide ribosomal RNA is filed under the name uncultured bacterium. RNAcentral's name for it is "partial 16S ribosomal RNA". It matches the Rfam family "Bacterial small subunit ribosomal RNA", at positions 29 to 507 of the family's 1533-position model. The record is from RNAcentral.
AGUGAACGCUGGCGGUAGGCCUAACACAUGCAAGUCGAACGGCAGCACAGUAAGAGCUUGCUCUUACGGGUGGCGAGUGGCGGACGGGUGAGGAAUACAUCGGAAUCUACUUUUUCGUGGGGGAUAACGUAGGGAAACUUACGCUAAUACCGCAUACGACCUACGGGUGAAAGCAGGGGAUCUUCGGACCUUGCGCGAUUGAAUGAGCCGAUGUCGGAUUAGCUAGUUGGCGGGGUAAGGGCCCACCAAGGCGACGAUCCGUAGCUGGUCUGAGAGGAUGAUCAGCCACACUGGAACUGAGACACGGUCCAGACUCCUACGGGAGGCAGCAGUGGGGAAUAUUGGACAAUGGGCGCAAGCCUGAUCCAGCCAUACCGCGUGGGUGAAGAAGGCCUUCGGGUUGUAAAGCCCUUUUGUUGGGAAAGAAAGGCAGCAGGUUAAUACCCCGCUGUUCUGACGGUACCCAAAGAAUAAGCACCGGCUAACUUCGUG